GCAACUCGGAAGAAACGAAUAUGAGAAGAAUUGGCAGCUUUUGGUUUAGAUCUAGGGCAAAAAAGAGUGGGUCUGAUGUUCCUGUUCUGAAGACUCUCGUUUUGGUGGCUACUAGGACACUUUGUGAUGAAGAAGUGCUGGUGAACUACAGGUUGAGCAACUCAAAGCGACGACAGCCAGAGGGGUAUACUCCAGUGGAUGAAGAGGAAUACCGAAGGAGAUAAAGCUAGUGAGUGAAACUUGAACGUCAGAAGUGUUGUAUAGGCAGG
This 269-nucleotide unclassified non-coding RNA is filed under the name Hevea brasiliensis (rubber tree). Lineage: Eukaryota; Viridiplantae; Streptophyta; Magnoliopsida; Malpighiales; Euphorbiaceae. The record is from RNAcentral.